Molecule: ribosomal RNA, 358 nt
Filed under: Haptophyta environmental samples
Lineage: Eukaryota; Haptophyta
Description: SSU rRNA
Rfam family: Eukaryotic small subunit ribosomal RNA
Source: RNAcentral
UAGCGUAUAUUAAAGUUGUUGCAGUUAGAACGCUCGUAGUCGGAUUUCGGGGCGGGCCGAUCGGUCUGCCGAUGGGUACGCACUGGUCGGCGCGUCCUUCCUUCCGGAGACCGUGCCUACUCUUAACUGAGCGGGGGCGGGAGACGGAUCGUUUACUUUGAAAAAAUCAGAGUGUUUCAAGCAGGCAGCUCGCUCUUGCAUGGAUUAGCAUGGGAUAAUGAAAUAGGACUUUGGUGCUAUUUUGUUGGUUUCGAACACCGAAGUAAUGAUUAAAAGGGACAGUCAGGGGCACUCGUAUUCCGCAGAGAGAGGUGAAAUUCUCAGACCCGCGGAAGACGAACCACUGCGAAAGCAUUUG